GAAUAUCGGGAAGGAACCCGAGGAACCGAGUCGAGGCUAAGGGACGACUCGCUUGAGAUAAGAGCAAGGAAAAAGCAGCAGAGUGAGCUGCUACUGAGUUGAAGAUCACAUCAAGCUUUUGUACGGGUAUUAUUUUAUACCCUUGUAGAUAAUUUUGAUGUAAAUAUGGAAAUGUUGUAUGUAUCAAUGUAGUUGAGCAGUUGUAAAUAAAUUGUAAUAAUAUUUUUUGGAUUUUCUUCUGUAAAUUUAAUAUUUGUAUUUA
Molecule: long non-coding RNA, 262 nt
Organism: Hevea brasiliensis (rubber tree)
Lineage: Eukaryota; Viridiplantae; Streptophyta; Magnoliopsida; Malpighiales; Euphorbiaceae
Exons: 2
Source: RefSeq, a predicted model, not a curated record